This 253-nucleotide ribosomal RNA is filed under the name uncultured bacterium. Its description in RNAcentral is "partial 16S ribosomal RNA". It matches the Rfam family "Bacterial small subunit ribosomal RNA", at positions 524 to 776 of the family's 1533-position model. The record is from RNAcentral.
AACGUAGGGGACAAGCGUUAUCCGGAUUUACUGGGCGUAAAGAGCUCGUAGGCGGUUCGUCGCGUCGGCUGUGAAAACCCGAGGCUCAACCUCGGGCCUGCAGUCGAUACGGGCGGACUGGAGUUCGGCAGGGGAGACUGGAAUUCCUGGUGUAGCGGUGAAAUGCGCAGAUAUCAGGAGGAACACCGGUGGCGAAGGCGGGUCUCUGGGCCGAUACUGACGCUGAGGAGCGAAAGCGUGGGGAGCGAACAGG